AUGGAGCCGGCUACCAUGGCCUGGACGCUGGCGGCGGCGGGUUUCGCGCUGGUGUACUGGUUCGUGUGGGUGAUGGGCGCCGCGGAGGUGCAGGGGAAGCGCGCCGUCGACCUCCAGAUGGGAUCCAUCGCCGACGACAAGGUCGGGGACAGGUAUUCCCAGUACUGGUCCUUCUUCCGCAGCCCCAAGGAGACGGCCGCCGCGGCCACCGCUGACAAGGUGCCGGCCUUCGUCGACACCUUCUACAACCUGGUCACCGACAUCUACGAGUGGGGCUGGGGCCAGUCGUUCCACUUCUCGCCCUCUCUGCCCGGCCGGUCGCACCGGGAGGCGACGCGGGUGCACGAGGAGCGCGUGGCCGACCUGCUCGAGGCGCGCCCCGGGAAGCGCCUGCUCGACGUCGGCUGCGGCGUCGGCGGGCCCAUGCGCGCCAUCGCGGCGCACUCCGGCUCCGACGUCGUCGGGAUUACCAUCAACGAGUACCAGGUCAACCGCGCCCGCUCGCACAACCGCAAGGCCGGCCUGGACGCGCAAUGCGAGGUGGUGUGCGGCAACUUCAUGGCCAUGCCGUUCCCGGACGCGUCCUUCGACGGCGCCUACUCCAUCGAGGCCACCUGCCACGCGCCCAGGCUGCAGGACGUCUACGGCGAGGUGUUCCGCGUGCUCAAGCCAGGGGGCCUCUACGUCUCCUACGAAUGGGUCACCACCCCGCUGUACCGCGCCGACGACCCGGAGCACGUCGAGGCCAUCCACGGCAUCGAGCGCGGCGACGCCCUCCCGGGCCUGCGCAGGCAGGACGAGAUCGCCGCCGUCGCUAAGGAGGUCGGCUUCGAGGUCGUCAAGGAGCUGGACCUGGCGCUGCCGCCGGCGCUCCCCUGGUGGACGCGGCUCAAGAUGGGGCGCCUCUCCUACUGGCGCAACUCGCUGGUGAUCCGGGCGCUCACCCUGCUGCGCGUGGCGCCCAAGGGCGUCUCCGAGGUGCACGAGAUGCUGUACGAGACGGCGCAUCACCUCACCCGCGGCGGCGAGACCGGCAUCUUUACCCCAAUGCACAUGGUGCUGCUCCGCAAGCCGGCCACCGCCGCUGAAUAG
Molecule: ribosomal RNA, 1092 nt
Filed under: Triticum aestivum (bread wheat)
Lineage: Eukaryota; Viridiplantae; Streptophyta; Magnoliopsida; Poales; Poaceae
Description: partial small subunit ribosomal RNA
Source: RNAcentral